GAUGAAGAACGUAGCGAAACGCGAUAAGUAAUGUGAAUUGCAGAAUCCAGUGAAUCAUCGAAUCUUUGAACGCACAUUGCGCCCGCCAGCAUUCUGGCGGGCAUGCCUGUUCGAGCGUCAUUUCAACCCUCGACCUCCCCUUGGGGAGGUCGGCGUCGGGGACCGGCAGCACACCGCCGGCCCUGAAAUGGAGUGGCGGCCCGUCCGCGGCGACCUCUGCGCAGUAAUACAGCUCGCACCGGGACCCCGACGCGGCCACGCCGUAAAACACCCAACUUCUGAACGUUGACCUCGAAUCAGGUAGGACUACCCGCUGAACUUAAGCAUAUCAAUAAGCGGAGGA
RNAcentral lists this unclassified non-coding RNA (343 nucleotides) under soil metagenome. RNAcentral's name for it is "partial contains 5.8S ribosomal RNA, internal transcribed spacer 2, and large subunit ribosomal RNA". The stretch from base 1 to 120 matches the Rfam family "5.8S ribosomal RNA", at positions 35 to 154 of the family's 154-position model. The record is from RNAcentral.